Molecule: ribosomal RNA, 497 nt
Filed under: uncultured bacterium
Lineage: Bacteria
Description: partial 16S ribosomal RNA
Rfam family: Bacterial small subunit ribosomal RNA
Source: RNAcentral
GACGAACGCUGGCGGCGUGCCUAAUACAUGCAAGUAGAACGCUGAAGAGAGGAGCUUGCUCUUCUUGGAUGAGUUGCGAACGGGUGAGUAACGCGUAGGUAACCUGCCUUGUAGCGGGGGAUAACUAUUGGAAACGAUAGCUAAUACCGCAUAACAAUGGAUGACACAUGUCAUUUAUUUGAAAGGGGCAAUUGUUCCACUACAAGAUGGACCUGCGUUGUAUUAGCUAGUAGGUGAGGUAAUGGCUCACCUAGGCGACGAUACAUAGCCGACCUGGGAGGGUGAUCGGCCACACUGGGACUGAGACACGGCCCAGACUCCUACGGGAGGCAGCAGUAGGGAAUCCUCGGCAAUGGGGGCAACCCUGACCGAGCAACGCCGCGUGAGUGAAGAAGGUUUUCGGAUCGUAAAGCUCUGUUGUAAGUCAAGAACGGGUGUGAGAGUGGAAAGUUCACACUGUGACGGUAGCUUACCAGAAAGAGACGGCUAACUACGUG